Molecule: ribosomal RNA, 491 nt
Filed under: uncultured bacterium
Lineage: Bacteria
Description: partial 16S ribosomal RNA
Rfam family: Bacterial small subunit ribosomal RNA
Source: RNAcentral
AGUGAACGCUGGCGGUAGGCCUAACACAUGCAAGUCGAACGGCAGCACAGUAAGAGCUUGCUCUUACGGGUGGCGAGUGGCGGACGGGUGAGGAAUACAUCGGAAUCUACUUUUUCGUGGGGGAUAACGUAGGGAAACUUACGCUAAUACCGCAUACGACCUACGGGUGAAAGCAGGGGAUCUUCGGACCUUGCGCGAUUGAAUGAGCCGAUGUCGGAUUAGCUAGUUGGCGGGGUAAGGCCCACCAAGGCGACGAUCCGUAGCUGGUCUGAGAGGAUGAUCAGCCACACUGGAACUGAGACACGGUCCAGACUCCUACGGGAGGCAGCAGUGGGGAAUAUUGGACAAUGGGCGCAAGCCUGAUCCAGCCAUACCGCGUGGGUGAAGAAGGCCUUCGGGUUGUAAAGCCCUUUUGUUGGGAAAGAAAAGCAGCAGGUUAAUACCCCGCUGUUGUGACGGUACCCAAAGAAUAAGCACCGGCUAACUUCGUG